This 388-nucleotide ribosomal RNA is filed under the name uncultured bacterium. RNAcentral describes it as "bacterial SSU rRNA". It matches the Rfam family "Bacterial small subunit ribosomal RNA", at positions 370 to 772 of the family's 1533-position model. The record is from RNAcentral.
AAUGGACCAAAAGUCUGAUCCAGCAAUUCUGUGUGCUUGAUGAAGGCCUUCGGGUUGUAAAGAGCUUUAAGUAGGGAAGAAGAAAGUGACGGUACCUACAGAAUAAGCGACGGCUAAAUACGUGCCAGCAGCCGCGGUAAUACGUAUGUCGCAAGCGUUAUCCGGAAUUAUUGGGCAUAAAGGGCGUCUAGGCGGUUUAGAAAGUCUGAUGUGAAAAUGCGGGGCUCAACCCCGUAUUGCGUUGGAAACUACUAGACUAGAGUAUUGGAGAGGUAAGCGGAACUACAAGUGUAGAGGUGAAAUUCGUAGAUAUUUGUAGGAAUGCCAAUUGGGAAGCCAGCUUACUGGACAAAUACUGACGCUGAAGCGCGAAAGCUAGGGGAGCAAA